GAUGGACGCUGGCGGCGUGCCUAAUACAUGCAAGUCGAGCGAACGGACGAGAAGCUUGCUUCUCUGAUGUUAGCGGCGGACGGGUGAGUAACACGUGGAUAACCUACCUAUAAGACUGGGAUAACUUCGGGAAACCGGAGCUAAUACCGGAUAAUAUUUUGAACCGCAUGGUUCAAAAGUGAAAGACGGUCUUGCUGUCACUUAUAGAUGGAUCCGCGCUGCAUUAGCUAGUUGGUAAGGUAACGGCUUACCAAGGCAAUGAUGCAUAGCCGACCUGAGAGGGUGAUCGGCCACACUGGAACUGAGACACGGUCCAGACUCCUACGGGAGGCAGCAGUAGGGAAUCUUCCGCAAUGGGCGAAAGCCUGACGGAGCAACGCCGCGUGAGUGAUGAAGGUCUUCGGAUCGUAAAACUCUGUUAUUAGGGAAGAACAUAUGUGUAAGUAACUGUGCACAUCUUGACGGUACCUAAUCAGAAAGCCACGGCUAACUACGUG
This 497-nucleotide ribosomal RNA is filed under the name uncultured bacterium. RNAcentral's name for it is "partial 16S ribosomal RNA". It matches the Rfam family "Bacterial small subunit ribosomal RNA", at positions 28 to 507 of the family's 1533-position model. The record is from RNAcentral.